UAACGAGCGCAACCCUACCCUUUAGUUGCCAUCAGGUAAUGCUGGGGACGUCUAAAGGAACUGCCUACGCAAGUAGUGAGGAAGCGGGGAGUGACGUCAAAUCAGCACGGCCCUUACGUCCAGGGCUACACACGUGCUACAAUGGCCGAUACAGAGGGCAGCUACCUGGUGACAGGAUGCAAAUCUCCAAAGUCGGUCUCAGUUCGGAUCGGAGUCUGCAACCCGACUCCGUGAAGUUGGAUUCGCUAGUAAUCGCGCAUCAGCCAUGGCGCGGUGAAUACGUUCCCGGGCCUU
RNAcentral lists this ribosomal RNA (294 nucleotides) under uncultured Sphingobacteriales bacterium. RNAcentral describes it as "partial 16S ribosomal RNA". It matches the Rfam family "Bacterial small subunit ribosomal RNA", at positions 1090 to 1382 of the family's 1533-position model. Lineage: Bacteria; Pseudomonadati; Bacteroidota; Sphingobacteriia; Sphingobacteriales. The record is from RNAcentral.